RNAcentral lists this ribosomal RNA (250 nucleotides) under uncultured bacterium. Its description in RNAcentral is "partial 16S ribosomal RNA". It matches the Rfam family "Bacterial small subunit ribosomal RNA", at positions 505 to 754 of the family's 1533-position model. The record is from RNAcentral.
GUGCCAGCCGCCGCGGUAAUACGGAGGGUGCAAGCGUUAUUCGGAAUCAUUGGGUGUAAAGCGCGUGUAGGCGGCUGGGUAAGUUAGAUGUGAAAGCUCUGGGCUUAACCUGGAAAGUGCAUUUAAAACUGCCUGGCUUGAGUCUCGUAGAGGAAGGUGGAAUUCCCAGUGUAGAGGUGAAAUUCGUAGAUAUUGGGAGGAACACCGGUGGCGAAGGCGACCUUCUGGGCGCAGACUGACGCUGAGACGC